Molecule: ribosomal RNA, 503 nt
Filed under: uncultured Desulfobulbus sp.
Lineage: Bacteria; Pseudomonadati; Thermodesulfobacteriota; Desulfobulbia; Desulfobulbales; Desulfobulbaceae
Description: bacterial SSU rRNA
Rfam family: Bacterial small subunit ribosomal RNA
Source: RNAcentral
GCCCGCUCAGAAACUUAAAGGAAGUUGACGGGGGCCCGCACAAGCGGUGGAGUAUGUGGUUUAAUUCGAUGCAACGCGAAGAACCUUACCUGGUCUUGACAUCCCGGAGACCCUUAGGAAACUAGGGGGUGCUUCCAUCUGGAAGAAUCUGGAGACAGGUGCUGCAUGGCUGUCGUCAGCUCGUGUCGUGAGAUGUUGGGUUAAGUCCCGCAACGAGCGCAACCCUUGCCUUUAGUUGCCAGCAGUUCGGCUGGGCACUCUAAAGGGACUGCCGGUGUUAAACCGGAGGAAGGUGGGGAUGACGUCAAGUCCUCAUGGCCUUUAUGACCAGGGCUACACACGUACUACAAUGGCCGGUACAAAGGGCAGCGACACUGCGAGGUGAAGCCAAUCCCGUAAAAUCGGUCUCAGUCCGGAUUGGAGUCUGCAACUCGACUCCAUGAAGUUGGAAUCGCUAGUAAUCGUGGAUCAGCCAAGCCGCGGUGAAUACGUUCCCGGGCCUU